UCCUGCUCCUCUCUGCUCAUCCAGCUGAUGCCAGCACUGGACACACUUGAUCCAGAUGCACAAAAUCCCUUCUCCCAGAGGUCCAAAGGCUCCUGGUGCCUCCCUUUCCUUGCUGAUCCAUUUUCACAGGAUAUUCCCCGUGCAGCCUGUCCUGUGCAUAACCCCUCCCAGUACCCCUGAGCAGCACCUCUGAAGAGGAACCACUCUCCAAAACAAUCCUUCCCUGCAAGGAAAACCAUUCCCCCAACUUCAAGGACUUGAAAAAUUCAUUUAAUUUUGGUUCAGCAUGUUUGACCGAAGAAAGUCAGCAAUUAUUUCUCCUCGGUGAUCAGAGGUGUCAUCUCCACUCAGACAUGGGCCACACCAGGUUCUGGAGAAUGGGGACAGGCCAAGAGGCAAUUAAGGAACAAAAUGAAACCAUGACAAACCUUUGUGGCUGGAUACUGUCUCCUAACAAAGUCCAAAACACCGUGGCGUUGUGGGCUUGGCACAUUAAAUUUUCAUGUGCAGCUACUGGAGACAGAUUUAUAAACUAAUUAAGUCUAACAAUCUCUGAAGCACUGCUUGUGUGUGAAGAGGCUCAGAUCAACUGAGUUGUUCCAAAGGAUAAAACCCCAAACUUAUCCAACAGGAACAUUCGAGAACCAGCCCAAAAUUAUUCCAUGUCUGUUGUAAAUCGACCCAAGUGCAAACACCUCGUGCAAAAU
This is a long non-coding RNA of Corapipo altera (White-ruffed manakin), 707 nucleotides long. RefSeq lists it as uncharacterized. The transcript is spliced from 3 exons. Lineage: Eukaryota; Metazoa; Chordata; Aves; Passeriformes; Pipridae. The record is from RefSeq and is a predicted model, not a curated record.